Molecule: small RNA, 666 nt
Filed under: Pongo abelii (Sumatran orangutan)
Lineage: Eukaryota; Metazoa; Chordata; Mammalia; Primates; Hominidae
Description: processed transcript
Source: RNAcentral
AGACUGAGGGAGAGAGAAAGAGGAGGGGAGGAGGAGGAGGAUUCAGGGAAUAGGAGCUGGGGAGCCCUUCUGCGCCACAGUGAUAUCAGUAUCAAGAUAAAAGUUUGGAAUGGGAGAAAAAUUCUCAAAGCCUGAAAGAAAAUCUGAGAUGCUUGGAGUGUAAAGAUCCCAUGGUCACAUAAAUCCGGAAAGCACUGAAUACUUUGUUUCCCAUAAGAGAAUCCCAUUAUAUGUUGAUGUAUUAAAAGACCUGAGAACCUGGUGAGGGAGCCUGCGAGCAAACGAGGUGGGAACUGGAGUGCACAAGUGCUGGAAUGAGCUGACUGCCCUCCACCCCUCAUGGGAGGGAGCGCGCGUAGUUACUUUUGGUGACACUAUCCAGUUCCCACAAUGUAUCAUUCCUUAACUGAAACUAGACAUCCUCUGCAGCCAGAAGAACAAGAAGUAGGCAUUGACCCCUUGUCCAGUUACUCUAACAAGUCUGGAGGAGAUUCAAAUAAAAAUGGAAGAAGAACAAGUUCUACUUUAGACUCUGAAGGGACUUUUAAUUCCUAUAGGAAAGAAUGGGAAGAACUAUUUGUAAACAACAAUUACUUGGCAACAAUAAGGCAGAAGGGGAUUAAUGGGCAGCUGAGAAGCAGCAGGUUCCGCAGCAUUUGCUGGAAG